CCUACGGGAGGCAGCAGUGGGGAAUAUUGGACAAUGGGGGGAACCCUGAUCCAGCGACGCCGCGUGAGUGAAGAAGUAUUUCGGUAUGUAAAGCUCUAUCAGCAGGGAAGAAAGAAAUGACGGUACCUGACUAAGAAGCGCCGGCUAACUACGUGCCAGCAGCCGCGGUAAUACGUAGGGGGCAAGCGUUAUCCGGAUUUACUGGGUGUAAGGGGAGCGUAGACGGGGAUGCAAGUCUGAAGUGAAAGGCGGGGGCCCAACCCCCGGACUGCUUUUGAAACUGUAUGGCUGGAGUGCAGGAGAGGUAAGUGGAAUUCCUAGUGUAGCGGUGAAAUGCGUAGAUAUUAGGAGGAACACCAGUGGCGAAGGCGGCUUACUGGACUGUAACUGACGUUGAGGCUCGAAAGCGUGGGGAGCAAACAGGAUUAGAUACCCUGGUAGUC
RNAcentral lists this ribosomal RNA (443 nucleotides) under uncultured bacterium. RNAcentral describes it as "partial 16S ribosomal RNA". It matches the Rfam family "Bacterial small subunit ribosomal RNA", at positions 338 to 795 of the family's 1533-position model. The record is from RNAcentral.